AGCUGGAGAGGAGGCAAGAUGUUGGCAUAGCUGUUGAACUAAGAACCUGCUAUGCCAACAUAUUGCCAUCUUUCUUGUCUAUCAGCA
This 87-nucleotide microRNA precursor is filed under the name Vombatus ursinus (common wombat). RNAcentral's name for it is "microRNA 31 (ENSVURG00010006762.1)". It matches the Rfam family "mir-31 microRNA precursor family". Lineage: Eukaryota; Metazoa; Chordata; Mammalia; Diprotodontia; Vombatidae. The record is from RNAcentral.